Astatotilapia calliptera (eastern happy) is the source of this 1225-nucleotide long non-coding RNA. Lineage: Eukaryota; Metazoa; Chordata; Actinopteri; Cichliformes; Cichlidae. The record is from Ensembl.
ACACGCCCUAUGCAAACCACAAGAAGGCUGGAGAAGCAGCUUUGAGAAGAGUGUGGUGAUAAAGGGUUUCACCUUUCAGUCGGAGCUCCUGAUGUCCAGGCAGCAGGAGAACGUGUGAAUCCUUAGCUGAGAAAUUCAUUUAAGGCUCCUUCCAGGCAAAGUCUACCUUGUACUCUGAUACUGCUGCAUUCAAGUACUGGUGUCACUGAUGUGCAUCUUUUCUUAACAAAGUGAUCUCAUCCAGACCAACGCCUGUCCUUUCAUUUUUUACGUUAUUUUCUUUUUUAUCUAAUCAAGGAUGUAGUGUGCCAUCGGCGCUCUGAAACGGAUGACACUGAGUCACGCACAUUUAAAGUCUCAUAUGUGAGAAAAGGCCUGAUGAGCGUAGAGACACUCGUAGUACCAGUGCCUUAAUGUAACGGUUGCAUCCAUCUGUAGCAGCUGAGGUUCACCAACAGAGGAGCCCUUCAAAUCAUUAAUCCAGUGCUAACCUGUGGAGGUGAUAUAAAGGAAAAAGCAUGAAUCUUCUACUUAACACUACAAUUUUUAUGUUGUUGACAAACUGUGAAUUUUCCAAAUCUGAGAAGGAAUAAUCACUAUUUAGCUGAAAGGAUCACAGAGCCCUGUGCUCUUGAGGAAUUCUUUCUACCUGCUCUCAGGUAAUCCCUGACACGUCUCUGUUGGAGGAUGCUGUGAAGUGUGUAGUUGUGUAAAGAAGUGUAAUUACUGAGUAUUUGUUUGGAAAACUCAGAGAAAUGCUAAAAUUUACAGUAAACCGAGACCUUUUUUUCUUUGUUUUCAACUAAAGCUGAACUUAGUGGGCUUUCUUGUGGAAAGUAUUUAAAGAUAGUUUGGUGUAUUUAAUUGUCACCGAGAAGCAAGAAUGUAUGAUGUUUGAUUUUUGAGAAGGGGGGAAAAAAAGGGAAGCUCGUGAUGUUCAAAGGGAGGAUGAAAUUUAAGGUUUAGCUGAAAGUCUGCAGACCACAGAGAGGCCGAGCUCUUGUAUUUAUUCCUGUUUUCAAAGCGGGAUCAGACGUGAAUGCUCUGAUCUGAUUAUUACAUUGCAUUAUGUAUACAGAUACAGUACUAUACCGUUGAUGGAACACUUAUUUAUGUCCACUUUGUUUGUUAUCAACACUGUGAUAUAUGUAUUUCAUUCAAUUUAUUCACUUCUUUUUACAUGAUCAUUGUGUCUGGUAAAUAAAAAAACAAAACAUGUUGUCUU